Molecule: ribosomal RNA, 351 nt
Filed under: uncultured bacterium
Lineage: Bacteria
Description: bacterial SSU rRNA
Rfam family: Bacterial small subunit ribosomal RNA
Source: RNAcentral
AACGGAGCUUCGGCUUCGGGAUCAGUGGCGAACGGGUGCGUAACACGUGGGCAACCUGCCCUUCACUCUGGGAUAACCCCGGGAAACCGGAGCUAAUACCGGAUACUCCGCUCCCACCGCAUGGCGGGAUCGGGAAAGGUCCGCCGGUGAGGGAUGGGCCCGCGGCCUAUCAGCUUGUUGGUGAGGUAACGGCUCACCAAGGCGACGACGGGUAGCUGGUCUGAGAGGACGACCAGCCACACUGGGACUGAGAUACGGCCCAGACUCCUACGGGAGGCAGCAGUGGGGAAUCUUGCACAAUGGGCGAAAGCCUGAUGCAGCGACGCCGCGUGAGGGAUGAAGGCCUUCGGG